UACGUAGGGGGCUAGCGUUGUCCGGAAUCAUUGGGCGUAAAGAGCGUGUAGGCGGCCCGGUAAGUCCGCUGUGAAAGUCGGGGGCUCAACCCUCGAAAGCCGGUGGAUACUGUCGGGCUAGAGUGCGGAAGAGGCGAGUGGAAUUCCUGGUGUGGCGGUGAAAUGCGCAGAUAUCAGGAGGAACACCUAUUGCGAAGGCAGCUCGCUGGGACGUAACUGACGCUGAGACGCGAAAGCGUGGGGAGCAAACAGG
This 253-nucleotide ribosomal RNA is filed under the name uncultured bacterium. Its description in RNAcentral is "partial 16S ribosomal RNA". It matches the Rfam family "Bacterial small subunit ribosomal RNA", at positions 524 to 776 of the family's 1533-position model. The record is from RNAcentral.